Molecule: transfer RNA, 74 nt
Filed under: Candidatus Omnitrophota bacterium
Lineage: Bacteria; Pseudomonadati; Candidatus Omnitrophota
Description: tRNA-Val
Rfam family: tRNA
About the family: Transfer RNA (tRNA) molecules are approximately 80 nucleotides in length.
Source: RNAcentral
CCCUUCGUAGCAUAAACGGAUAAUGCUCUUUUCCAACGAAGAAGAUGAUGUGGGUUCGAUUCCCACCGAAGGGG